RNAcentral lists this transfer RNA (76 nucleotides) under Candidatus Dormiibacterota bacterium. RNAcentral describes it as "tRNA-Trp". It matches the Rfam family "tRNA". Rfam says of the family: Transfer RNA (tRNA) molecules are approximately 80 nucleotides in length. Their secondary structure includes four short double-helical elements and three loops (D, anti-codon, and T loops). The record is from RNAcentral. Lineage: Bacteria; Bacillati; Candidatus Dormiibacterota. RNAcentral also lists the same sequence under 3 other names.
AGGGGCGUAGCUCAGCCGGUAGAGCAUCGGUCUCCAAAACCGAGGGUCGCGAGUUCGAGUCUUGCCGCCCCUGCCA